UAAAGCCCAUGUGAUUUAGGAUUGAAAUAGGAAGACAUUUAGAAGUUGUGUAUGUGGAAGGAAAGGCAUGUGUGCCUAUUGCUUUACUCGACAGAUGUCGGAGCCUUGUCUUGUGGAAAAGUGAAUCUUGGGCAACAGGGUUUUCAGAAGGUUUAAGGUAAGCAAAAUGAUCUCGCUUGAAUGGUUUCAGGAUCCACAAAGAUUUAGAGGAGCACCAAAGAAAGUGAAAAAGAAAGUGUGUACCAUCUUAUGUAGGAAGACAUUUGGAAGUUGUGUUUGCGGAAGGAAAGAAAGGCCUGUGUGUCUUGCUUUACUCGACAGAUGUCGCAGCCUUGUCUUGUGGAAAAGUGAUUCUUGGGCAACAGGGAUUUCAGCAGGUGUAAGGUAAGCAAAAUGAUCUUGCUUGAAUAGUUUCAGGAUCCACACAGAUUGAGAGGAGCAGCAAAGAAAGUGAAGAAAAAAGUUUGUACCAUCUUAUGUAGGAAGACAUUUGGAAGUUGUGUUUGCGGAAGGAAAGAAAGGCCUGUGUGUCUAUUGCUUUACUCGACAGAUGUCGCAGCCUUGUCUUGUGGAAAAGUGAAUCUUGGGCAACAGGGUUUUCAGAAGGUGUAAGUUAAGCAAAAUGACCUCGCUUGAAUGGUUUCAGGAUCCACAAAGAUUGAGAGGAGCGACAAGGAAAGUGAAGAAGAAAGUGUGUACCAUCUUAUGUAGGAAGACAUUUGGAAGUUGUGUUUGCGGAAGGAAAGAAAGGCCUGUGUGUCUAUUGCUUUACUCGACAGAUGUCGCAGCCUUGUCUUGUGGAAAAGUGAAUCUUGGGCAACAGGGUUUUCAGAAGGUGUAAGUUAAGCAAAAUGACCUCGCUUGAAUGGUUUCAGGAUCCACAAAGAUUGAGAGGAGCGACAAGGAAAGUGAAGAAGAAAGUGUGUACCAUCUUAUGUAGGAAGACAUUUGGAAGUUGUGUUUGCGGAAGGAAAGAAAGGCCUGUGUGUCUAUUGCUUUGCUCGACAGAUGUCGCAGCCUUGUCUUGUGGAAAAGUGAAUCUUGGGCAACAGGGUUUUCAGCAGGUGUAAGGUAAGCAAAAUGAUCUUGCUUGAAUAGUUUCAGGAUCCACACAGAUUGAGAGGAGCAGCAAAGAAAGUGAAGAAAAAUGUUUGUACCAUCUUAUGUCGGAAGACAUUUGGAAGUUGUGUUCGCGGAAGGAAAGGCCUGUGUGUCUAUUGCUUUACUCGACAGAUGUAGCAGCCUUGUCUUGUGGAAAAGUGAAUCUUGGGCAAUAGGGUUUUCAGCAGGUGUAAGGUAAGCAGAAUGAGCUCUCUUGAAUAGUUUCAGGAUCCACAAAGAUCGAGAGGAGCAGCAAAGAAA
This is a long non-coding RNA of Spea bombifrons (plains spadefoot toad), 1362 nucleotides long. RefSeq lists it as uncharacterized. The record is from RefSeq and is a predicted model, not a curated record. NCBI's taxonomy places the organism in Eukaryota, Metazoa, Chordata, Amphibia, Anura, Pelobatidae. The transcript has 2 exons.